AACGAACGCUGGCGGCAUGCCUAACACAUGCAAGUCGAACGAGACCUUCGGGUCUAGUGGCGCACGGGUGCGUAACGCGUGGGAACCUGCCCUUAGGUUCGGAAUAACUCCCCGAAAGGGGUGCUAAUACCGGAUAAUGUCUUCGGACCAAAGAUUUAUCGCCUUUGGAUGGGCCCGCGUUGGAUUAGCUAGUUGGUAGGGUAAAAGCCUACCAAGGCGACGAUCCAUAGCUGGUCUGAGAGGAUGAUCAGCCACACUGGGACUGAGACACGGCCCAGACUCCUACGGGAGGCAGCAGUGGGGAAUAUUGGACAAUGGGCGAAAGCCUGAUCCAGCAAUGCCGCGUGAGUGAUGAAGGCCCUAGGGUUGUAAAGCUCUUUUACCCGGGAUGAUAAUGACAGUACCGGGAGAAUAAGCGCCGGCUAACUCCGUG
Molecule: ribosomal RNA, 433 nt
Filed under: uncultured bacterium
Lineage: Bacteria
Description: partial 16S ribosomal RNA
Rfam family: Bacterial small subunit ribosomal RNA
Source: RNAcentral